GAUGAAGAACGUAGCGAAAUGCGAUAAGUAGUGUGAAUUGCAGAAUUCAGUGAAUCAUCGAAUCUUUGAACGCACAUUGCGCCCCUUGGCAUUCCGAGGGGCAUGCCUGUUCGAGCGUCAUUUCACCACUCAAGCCUGGCUUGGUGUUGGGCGACGUCCUCUUUGGGGACGCGCCUCGAAACGCUCGGCGGCGUGGCACCGGCUUUAAGCGUAGCAGAAUCUUUCGCUUUGGAAGUCGGGGCCCCGUCUGCCGGAAGACCUGCUCGCAAGGUUGACCUCGGAUCAGGCAGGGAUACCCGCUGAACUUAAGCAUAUCAAUAAGCGGAGGA
RNAcentral lists this unclassified non-coding RNA (329 nucleotides) under soil metagenome. RNAcentral's name for it is "partial contains 5.8S ribosomal RNA, internal transcribed spacer 2, and large subunit ribosomal RNA". The stretch from base 1 to 120 matches the Rfam family "5.8S ribosomal RNA", at positions 35 to 154 of the family's 154-position model. The record is from RNAcentral.